RNAcentral lists this ribosomal RNA (208 nucleotides) under uncultured bacterium. RNAcentral's name for it is "partial 16S ribosomal RNA". It matches the Rfam family "Bacterial small subunit ribosomal RNA", at positions 54 to 291 of the family's 1533-position model. The record is from RNAcentral.
CCAUGCAGUCGACGCGCCCUUCGGGAACAGUGGCGCACGGGUGAGUAACGCGUGGGAACUUGCCUUGAAGUGGGGAAUAACCCCUGGAAACUUGGGCUAAUACCGUAUGCGCCCUGCGGGGGAAAGAUUUAUCGCUUCGAGAGGUGCCCGCGUCGGAUUAGGUAGUUGGUGAGGUAAUGGCUCACCAAGCCUACGAUCCGUAGCUGGU